UGAUCCACCCAUCAAAAAUAUCUAGGGAAACCCGGCGGAAACUAUUCGACCAAGUUUGCCAUAACCAGCUGGUAACCAUGUCAUGCCAGGAGAUUAUCUAACAACAGGAUUAGAAGCCAUCAUGGAUAACAGACUUUUUACCCAACCAUGAAGUGAUGAAUGGGAUACAUCUUUAUGUUUGAAAUGAAUUAAUGGUUAAAAUCCAAGUGGCUGCAAGUGCGAGGAUCAAUACUUCUGUCAGAACCAGAUGUAAAAAAAAUUUGACAAAGGUGACAACAAAUGGCAAAUAGUGGAAUUAUGGAACAGGAUUUAUCUACUAGCCAAGACAGUUCCUUAUAAUAACACACAAACUUUUCUGAAAGGGAAAUUCCAUCUAGAUCAGAAGAAAGUAGUUUGUGAUAGAAAAGUGUCGUCCAACCGAAAUUCACAUUAAAAGAGUCCUUGUAUUAUCUAAAAGUUACACAAGGGUAAAACUUAAUGCCCCUCCUCCGCUGUGGCAGGGGAAUAAACAAUCUGAAACAUGUAAUUCCACGUGGAAACUUCUAAUUCAACUUGGUUUCAGAAUUACCUGUGUUUGCUGUGUUCUUUCUAAUUUCAUAAAAAUACAUUGUAAAUAAAUAUGCAUAAAAGAUGAAA
Molecule: long non-coding RNA, 636 nt
Organism: Mytilus californianus (California mussel)
Lineage: Eukaryota; Metazoa; Mollusca; Bivalvia; Mytilida; Mytilidae
Exons: 2
Source: RefSeq, a predicted model, not a curated record